GGCCUUGUAGCUCAGCUGGUAGAGCAUCGGUGUAAAAUCCGAAGGUCGUGGGUUCGAAUCCCAGCGAGGUCG
This 72-nucleotide transfer RNA is filed under the name Exaiptasia diaphana. Its description in RNAcentral is "tRNA-Leu". It matches the Rfam family "tRNA". From Rfam's summary of the family: Transfer RNA (tRNA) molecules are approximately 80 nucleotides in length. Their secondary structure includes four short double-helical elements and three loops (D, anti-codon, and T loops). Lineage: Eukaryota; Metazoa; Cnidaria; Anthozoa; Actiniaria; Aiptasiidae. The record is from Rfam by way of RNAcentral.